This 7794-nucleotide long non-coding RNA is filed under the name Gossypium raimondii (Peruvian cotton). Its description in RNAcentral is "long non-coding RNA (GRAI_LNC005679)". The record is from RNAcentral. Lineage: Eukaryota; Viridiplantae; Streptophyta; Magnoliopsida; Malvales; Malvaceae.
CAGCUGCCUGUUUCACCAUGGAGAAAACAGAUAUGUGCAACUCUAGCGUCGUUUCCACCUCCCAUGAUGUUGAGGAGUCUUGCGAUGAUGAAUUCCAACAACUGGUGCAAACCUUCCCUAAAGAUAAAAGCUUCACAGGAAUGAAUCUUUACUUCUUCCAAGGUUUCUGGUGCCCAUCAAUUAUUUUAAAAGCUGUGAUUUCUUGUCAGAAACAUUUCCAAGCAUUUAAUUCUGAUAUUAUCAUCGCCACUUUGCCAAAAUGUGGCACUACUUGGCUUAAAGCUUUGACUUUCUCCACUUUGUACCGCAAUCAGUUCGCAAGGGAAAAUAAUCCCUUGCUCACCUAUAACCCUCACUCUCUUGUUCGCUUCAUUGAUUUUGACUUUUAUUUCAACGACACUUGUCCUGAUCUCGAAAAUUAUACUCUUUAUCAGCCAAGACUUUUUUCUAUCCACUUGCCUUAUGCUUCUUUGCCAACUUCCAUUAAAGAUUCCAACUGUAAGAUUGUUUAUUUAUGUAGAAACCCCAUGGACACGCUCAUUUCUUUUUGGUCUUUCCUUUCCAGGCUUCGAGGCGAAGGCUUUGAGCCAGUAUCACUAGAUGAAGCUUUUGAGAUGUUCUGCCAAGGAAUCAAUGAAUUUGGACCAUUUUUCGAUCAUGUGUCAGGGUAUUGGAGGGCAAGCCAAGAAAAAUCGAGCAAAAUAUUGUUUUUACAAUAUGAAGAUCUUAAGGAAGACAUCACUUCUCACCUAAAAAAGUUGGCAAUGUUUUUGGGGGUUCCUUUCACUGAGGAAGAAGAGAAACAAGGAGUUGUUGAAGAAAUUGCGAAAAUUUGCAGCUUUGAGAACAUGAAAGACUUGGAAGUGAAUAAGAAAGGUGAGCAAACUUUUGGGUAUCCACAAGAAACUUUCUCAGGGAAAACAAAGACUAUUGAGAUUCCACGUGAAGCUUUCUUCAGAAAAGCAAAAACGGGAGAUUGGAGCAAUUAUCUCACACCCUCCAUGGCUGAACGUCUAGAGAAACUUAUUCAAGAGAAAUUGGAAAACUCAAGUUUAACAUUUAAAUUGUUCUCUAAAACUUCAAAAGAUAUUACUUCUACAUGAUCAGGGAUGUAUGUCUAUUGGCGUUAAUUUAUGAUGAAUAAAUUCCAUAUUUGCAUGUAGAGAGUCUUUCCCUCGCAAAAUAAGGUUAUAUAAUAAUAUUGAGGUUAAGAUAUGCUUUUAGUCCCUAUAUUUAUCCAGAACUUGAGAUUAAGUUACUGUAUUUUAAAAGUAAAAAUUUUAAGCCUCUUACUUUUUCAAUUUAAAGAUUUUAAUCUAAUCAUUAUCAUUAUCAUUAUCAUUGUUUGUAAUUUCCGUCAAGACUUGUCAACUUAACAUGUUUAUAUUUUUGUCAGUCAUGUGCAAUGUCAUAAGAGGGCAAUCUAAUUAGCAUGACGAGUAGGCAAAUUUUGAUGAAAAAUACUAAUAAUGUUAAUGAUAGGAUUGAAAUUUUUAAAUAAAAAAUUAAAAGAAUUUCACCUUCAACUAUUUAAAUAAUUUUAAUCUUAUAUUUGUUUAAGUUUACGUUUUGAUCAUCGAUCUUUCAAGUGUUACAUAAAUGUCAUGGACAUUAUCGUUUGAUAACAAUUUAGUCACUAUAUCGUUACCCAUUGUUAUUUUAGCAAAGAUGCUAUAAUAAUACAUAAUCCAUAGCGAUUUGCAAGUUCAAAGGAUAUAAUCUUGCAUAUAUAUAUAUAUAUAUAUAUAUUAGUUUGUAUUUUGUGUGAUGCUUGAAUUGGUUGUGUAUAUUAAUUAUCCAGUUUUGUAACUUCCUUUUUCAAAAAUCUAUAAAGAGAAGUCCUCCACAACUAGUGGAGAGACCUUUGGAUAUUUUGGAAAUUUGACUCUCGAGCUCUAUCUAAAAUUCUCUCAACUUAUUAUUAUUUUUGUUUAGCUUUAUCAUCAAUCAGAUUUAGCUUUCUAUACCCUAUCAACCACCACCACUUGCUGUUGCGUUCAGUAUUACUAGAUUUACUCUAGUCUUUCUCUUCACCUUCUUUCAAUACAUCUCAUUUACUUGUCUGCAAUGUUUUCUCUAUCCAUUAAAAAAAUUCUCUACACACUAUUAAUGAUUUAAUAGAAUAAUAAUCAAAAUAUUGAAUGCGGAUAGCAUUAGAGACAAAAAUAAAUUUUUUUAGACUUGAAUGAUAAAUAAAACACUUUAAUUAAUAAUUAAGCGAAUACUGGUCUAUAUCUAAAAGUUAAAAAAAAUAAAAACAAAUUAUAUUAAUCAAAUAAUAUCUUAAAAAGGAAUUUAAUAAUGCAACCUUUUGGCUAAAGAUAAAGAUAAUUUCAGCAUUAAUGUUUAAUAAUGCAACCUUCUGGCAAAAGAUGAAGAUAAUUUCAGCAUUAAAGUUUAAUAAUGCAACCAUUCGGCUAAAGACGAAGAUAAUUUCAGUGGUGCAAGAUCUUCCGUAUCCCACAGCAUUAAAUUUUGAUUGCAUCUCCCAUUUGAUAAUAUAAAAUAAAGGGGAUGAUGACCCAAUUUUUAAACGUUUUUAUUUUAGGUAAUAAAAAAAGGUUUUUCAUUAUUUUAACUACUUCCAUUAAAAUUUUAAAUCAAAAUAUAUAUGAAAUUAUUUUUAAAAUUUUGAUUUUUCACACAAUUUUAAAAAAAUAAAAAUUUACCAUUUUAAUCUUCGAUCUUUUAAUAUAAGUGAGGUUUCUCAACAAAUUGGGAACAAUAACCACAUCAUCUAUCAAAUAUGGCCUCCUCUUUCAUCUGCUUCGUUGAUUAGAGCAAUGCGUCACCAUCAACGCUGACUUUUUGUAGUAGAGGUGACAAAAAAUCGAAAUAAAAAAUUAAAAGAUAGUAUAGAAACAUCAAAUUCAAAAAGAAAAAGAUUAAAAAUAUUAAAGACAAUGUCAAAGUUUCCAAGUCUACUAUUCCCCUCUUCACUUCAAGAUGAUUUACAAAUAAUUUUCUUUUAAAGUCAAUGCUUUUUCUCUUUUUUGUAAUAACUGUAAUAGUAAAGCUAGAAUUUUAUACAAAUUUUUGGAUUUUUUUAUAUCUGUGAAGAUUUAAGUUUUAGGCAUGGGUUAUUUUUUUGGAUACUGUUGUUAAGUGCUUUGAAUGGUUGCCAAUUCCCCCAUGCCUCUAAUAUUUGCAUAAGAACAAUGAAAACCCUAACUAUUAUAUGCCACAAUUAUUACUAGUUAAGGAAGCAAAGCAUGCUAUUUAUGCCCUAAAGACAUUAGAAUUUACUGUGAAUUUUUUACAGAGGAUAUGGUUGUUGUUCUCAAUUUGUUAAGGUGAGGUAAACCUCAUUUAUAUAAAAAGAUUGGGACUAAAAUGAUGAUUUUUAUUUCAUUUAAAUAUGUGAAAAAUCAAAAUUUUAGAAAUAAUUUCACGUUAGAUCUCUAUUUAUCAUUUUAACAAGAGUAAUUAAACUGAUCCAACCAGUGUAACUAUUUUUUCGGAUGCUUAUCUUUAAAACUUUUGAAAAUGAGGCGUUUACCCUAAAAUAAAUUAUUAAAGCAUAAAAUAUUUGAUAUGGUCUUUUUUGGUCCGCCCCACAAAACUUGCUAUAUAAAUAGAAAACUAGUUUUGAAUGUUGUUUUCCUUAUCCCUUUCUCGACCAACUACUUGUUUCACCAUGGAUAAAAUAGAUAUGAGCAACCCCAGCAUGGUUUCCACCUCCCAUGAUGUUGAGGAGUCUUGGGAUGAUGAAUUCCAACAACUGGUGCAAACCUUCCCUAAAGAUAAAAGCUUCACAGGAAUGAAUCUUUACUUCUUCCAAGGUUUCUGGUGUCCAUCAAUUGUUCUAAAAGCUGUGAUUUCUUGUCAGAAACAUUUCCAAGCAUUUGAUUCUGAUAUUAUCAUCGCAACUUUGCCAAAAUGUGGCACUACUUGGCUUAAAGCUUUGACUUUCUCCACUUUGUACCGCAAUCAGUUCGCAAGGGAAAAUAAUCCCUUGCUCACCUAUAACCCUCACUCUCUUGUUCGCUUCAUUGAUUAUGACUUCUAUUUCAACGACACUUGUCCUGAUCUCGAAAAUUGUACUCUUUAUCAGCCAAGACUUUUUUCUAUCCACUUGCCUUAUGCUUCUUUGCCAACUUCCAUUAAAAAUUCCAACUGUAAGAUUGUUUACUUAUGUAGAAACCCCAUGGACACGCUCAUUUCUUUUUGGUCUUUCUUUUCCAGGCUUCGAGGCGAAGGCUUUGAGCCAGUAUCACUAGAUGGAGCUUUUGAGAUGUUCUGCCAAGGAAUCAAUGAAUUUGGACCAUUUUUCGAUCAUGUGUCAGGGUAUUGGAGGGCAAGCCAAGAAAAAUCGAGCAAAAUAUUGUUUUUACAAUAUGAAGAUCUUAAGGAAGACAUCACUUCUCACCUAAAAAAAUUGGCAAUGUUUUUGGGGGUUCCUUUCACUGAGGAAGAAGAGAAACAAGGAGUUGUUGAAGAAAUAGCGAAAAUUUGCAGCUUUGAGAACAUGAAAGACUUGGAAGUGAAUAAGAAGGGCGUGCAAACUUUUGGGUAUCCACAAGAAACUUUCUUAGGGAAAAUAAAGACUUAUGAGAUUCCACGUGAAGCUUUCUUUAGAAAAGCAAAAGUGGGAGAUUGGAGCAAUUAUCUCACACCCUCCAUGGUUGUACGUCUAGAGAAACUUAUUCAAGAGAAAUUGGAAAACUCAGGUUUAACAUUUAAAUUGUUCUCCAAAACUUCAAACGAUAUUACUUCUACAGAAUGAGGGAUGUAUGUCUAUUGGCUUUAAUUUAUGAUGAAUAAAUUCCAUAUUUGCAUGUAGAGAGUCUUUCCCUCGCAAAAUACGGUUAUAUAAAAAAAUUGUGGUUAAAAUAUGCUUUUAGUCCCUAUAUUAUCUAGAAUUUGAGAUUUAGUUACUGUAUUUUAAAAGUGAAAAUUUUAAGCCUCUUGCUUUGUUAAUUUAAAAAUUUUAGUCUAAUCAUUAUCUCUUUUUGUAAUUUCUAUGAAAACUUGUCAACUUAACAUGUUUAUUUUUUUGUCAAUCAUGUGCAAUGUCAUAAGAGGGUAGUCUAAUUAGCAUGCGAAGUUUGCAAAUUUUGAUGAAAAAUACUAAUAAUAUUAAUGAUUGGAUUAAAAUUUUUAAAUUAAAAAAAUUAAAAGAAUUUAGUUUUCAACUAUUUAAAUAUAAUGACUAAAUUUCAGAUCUUGUCUAAAUACAGGGACCUAAUAUUAUUCCAAGGACAUGUAAUAUAGUUAUCUUAUUGUAAGGUUAUGAUUUAUGAAUAUCUAUAUAUCUAGAUGUAAUAAAACCAACUCGCUUGAGAGCCGAGUAGGAAUAAAUAGGGGUAUUGUGAUAAGUCGUUGAGAGUAAAUAAGUAUAUUGUAGUGAUUUUAAAUUAUUUUUCACAUAAUUUUAGUUAAUUGAUUAUCUGUUUAAAAAUGUUAAAAACUUCAUCAAUUAAGUAAUAUUUUUAUAAUUGAAAAAUAUUCAUUCUAUAAAUUCCCCCUUCGCCAAUUGGUACUCACUCUUCUCUUUUAGGUAGAAUUUCUCUUCUUCCGUUACCAUUUUUUUACUUGGCUGAACUAUCAAAAAAUUUUGCUUAUUUAUUUUCAUCAAUUUAUGGGUAAUAAAACCGCCUCCUUUCAGAAUCAUUAGGAAUAAAUAGGAUUAUUGUAAUCAUUUAUUGGGAGUAAUAAACGUAUUGUGUCAUAUUAAAUUAAUUUUAUUUAUUUAAAAAAUUCAAAAAUCAAUUUCAACUCAAAACAUUUUAUUUAUUCUCAUUAAACAUCAAAUAAAAUUUCAAUUUUUUAUUAUUUUAACAUAAUCAAUAUUAACUAACCAAAUUUCGUAAUGGUUUUGAUAUUCUAUCUCAACAUUAAACUUUUUUCAUUGUUACUAAUUUUCAUGUGUAUAAAUAACACAUUUACUUCUUAUACAUAUUUCUAUUAUCGUUUUUAUUUGGGAUAUUUAUAAAUGUUUCAAAAAAAAUCAUAUUUAUCAGUUUUUUAUUUGCAUAAAAAUUACUAAAUAUAUUUGUAUAAUAUUUGUCAAAAAAUUGAUUAAAUGUGCAUAAUCAAUAGUUUUAGAAAAAGUUGAAGUAAUUAUAGUUUUUAUAAAUUUAUUAGUACAUGUUUAAUUUGAUUAAAUUUAUUUUGAAUUUUACUAUAUAUUAUAAUUAACUUAAAAAUUUUAAAAAUACUAAAUAAUAAGUUAAUAUAAUAUAUGUUGAUAAUAAAUAUUAGAAUAAUAACCUACAAAUAUCACACCUAAUUAGGAUUUAUAUCUUUUAAAUUUGGAUUUCCAUUCCUUUUAGCGUAAGAGAAAUUAAAAUUUUACAAGUUAGAAGGUAAAUAUAAUUUAAAGCAUUUUUAAUUAUAAUCUCAAUUAAAAAUAUUUUGAAUUUAAAUUAUUAUAAAAUAUUUGGUUUGAAGUAUCUAAAGAGACAAAAAGACAAUCUUAUAGUUUGUAAGAUGCAAAUAGUUUGAUUAUCAUCAUAAUUAUUGAUUCUAAAUAUGUGCAUUGUAUAGGGAUAGAUUAAUUAUAAUCGUGAAAUGUAUUUGUACUUUAAAAACAAAAUAACUUCAUAAGAAUAUCAUGAUAUAUACUAAAUUUCUUAGAAUGCUCAAAUGAUUAUUUUAUUUUAAACAUAAUUAAAUCAAUUAUUUUUUAUUUUAAUUCAUGAUAUGCGCAAUGCGCGGAAUAGUCCUAUACCAAAUUUGGUUCAGUGUAAUGGAAUAGAGCUAUAAUAGAACAAAACUGUAAUACCAAUUUAAUUGUUUAGUUGAAUGGAAUGGAAUAGAACUGUAAUAGUAUUCUUGUGUUUGGUUGAAUGGAAUGCAUUUUUUAUAUCUGUGAGUAUUUAAGUUUUAGGCAUGGGUUAUUUUUUCUGGAAACUGUCGUUAAGUGCUUUGAGUGGUUGCCAAUUCCUCCAUGCCUCUAACAUAAGAACAAUGAAAACCCUAACUAUUAUAUGCCACAAUUAUUACUAGUUAAGGAAGCAAAGCAUGUUAAUUAUGCCCUAAAGACAAUAUUGGAAUUUACUGUGAAUUUUUCACAAAGGAUAUGGUUGUUGUUCUCAAUUUGUUAAGGUGAGAGGUAAACCUCAUUUAUAUAAAAAGAUUGGGACUAAAAUGAACAUUUUUAUUUUAUUUAAAUACGUGAAAAAUCAAAAUUUUAGAAAUAAUUUCACAUUAGAUCAUUGUUUACCAUUUUAUUAGGAGUGACUAAUCCAACACGUGUACCUACUUUUUCGAAUAUCUAUAAUAAUUUUUUUUGAAAAUUUGGCGUUUACCCUAAAAUAAAUUAUUAAAAAAUAAAAUAUUUGACAUGGUCUCUUUUUGGUCUGCUCCACAAAACUUGCUAUAUAAACAGAAAACUAGUUUUGAAUGUUGUUUUUCUUAUCCCUUUCUCGACCAACUGCUUGUUUCACCACGGAGAAAACAAAUAUGUGCAACUCCAGAUUGGUUUCCACAUCCCAUGAUGUUGAGGAGUCUUGGGAUGAUGAAUUCCAACAACUGGUGCAAACCUUCCCUAAAGAUAAAAGCUUCACAAGAAUGAAUCUUUACUUCUUCCAAGGUUUCUGGUGCCCAUCAAUUGUUUUAAAAGCUGUGAUUUCUUGUCAGAAACAUUUCCAAGCAUUUGAUUCUGAUAUUAUUAGCGCCACUUUGCCAAAAUGUGGCACUACUUGGCUUAAGCUUAAAGCUUUGACUUUCUCCACUUUGUACCGCAAUCAGUUCGCAAGGGAAAAUAAUCCCUUGCUCACCUAUAACCCUCACUCUCUUGUUAUCUUCAUUGAUUAUGACUUCUAUUUCAACGACACUUGUCCUGAUCUC